RNAcentral lists this ribosomal RNA (482 nucleotides) under bacterium PML116. RNAcentral describes it as "bacterial SSU rRNA". It matches the Rfam family "Bacterial small subunit ribosomal RNA", at positions 1 to 479 of the family's 1533-position model. The record is from RNAcentral.
UUAGUAGUUUGAUCCUGGCUCAGAUUGAACGCUGGCGGCAUGCCUUACACAUGCAAGUCGAACGGCAGCACGGGGGCAACCCUGGUGGCGAGUGGCGAACGGGUGAGUAAUACAUGCGGAACGUGUCCUGUAGUGGGGGAUAGCCCGGCGAAAGCCGGAUUAAUACCGCAUACGAUCUACGGAAGAAAGCGGGGGAUCGCAAGACCUCGCGCUAUAGGGGCGGCCGAUGGCAGAUUAGCUAGUUGGUGGGGUAAAGGCCUACCAAGGCGACGAUCUGUAGCUGGUCUGAGAGUGACGACCAGCCACACUGGGACUGAGACACGGCCCAGACUCCUACGGGAGGCAGCAGUGGGGAAUUUUGGACAAUGGGGGAAACCCUGAUCCAGCUAUGCCGCGUGUGUGAAGAAGGCCUUCGGGUUGUAAAGCACUUUUGUCCGGAAAGUAAAACUUCUGCCCUAAUACGGUGGGAGGAUGACGGUACC